This 253-nucleotide ribosomal RNA is filed under the name uncultured bacterium. Its description in RNAcentral is "partial 16S ribosomal RNA". It matches the Rfam family "Bacterial small subunit ribosomal RNA", at positions 524 to 776 of the family's 1533-position model. The record is from RNAcentral.
UACGUAGGGUGCAGGCGUUAAUCGGAAUUACUGGGCGUAAAGCGUGCGCAGGCGGUUUGCUAAGACAGGUGUGAAAUCCCCGGGCUUAACCUGGGAACUGCGCUUGUAACUGGCAAGCUUGAGUGUGGCAGAGGGGGGUGGAAUUCCACGUGUAGCAGUGAAAUGCGUAGAGAUGUGGAGGAACACCGAUGGCGAAGGCAGCCUCCUGGGCCAGCACUGACGCUCAUGCACGAAAGCGUGGGGAGCAAACAGG